This 465-nucleotide ribosomal RNA is filed under the name uncultured bacterium. Its description in RNAcentral is "partial 16S ribosomal RNA". It matches the Rfam family "Bacterial small subunit ribosomal RNA", at positions 338 to 795 of the family's 1533-position model. The record is from RNAcentral.
CCUACGGGUGGCAGCAGUAGGGAAUCUUCCACAAUGGGCGAAAGCCUGAUGGAGCAACGCCGCGUGGGUGAAGAAGGUCUUCGGAUCGUAAAACCCUGUUGUUAGAGAAGAAAGUGCGUGAGUGUAACUGUUCACGUUUCGACGGUAUCUAACCAGAAAGCCACGGCUAACUACGUGCCAGCAGCCGCGGUAAUACGUAGUUGGCAAGCGUUAUCCGGAUUUAUUGGGCGUAAAGGGAACGCAUGCGGUCUUUUAAGUCUGAUGUGAAAGCCUUCGGCUUAACCGGAGUAGUGCAUUGGAAACUGGGAGACGUGAGUGCAGAAGAGGAGAGGGGAACUCCAUGUGUAGCGGUGAAAUGCGUAGAUAUAUGGAAGAACACCAGUGGCGAAAGCGGCUCUCUGGUCUGUAACUGACGCUGAGGUUCGAAAGCGUGGGUAGCAAACAGGAUUAGAUACCCGGGUAGUC